GAGAGAGAGAGAGAGAGGGGGACAAAAAGCCACAACUCCAGCCAAGAAAUUCUCACAGGAGUGCUGUGGUUCAACAAAACAGUUUUCACGACCAUAUUGCUUUUUUCGGUCUAGCUUCCCUCAGAUGCGGGGUGGGGGUGGGGGUGUAUGUGUGUGUGUGGGGGGGGGUUAUUACGUUUCUAACCCCAGGCCAGUAUUUGGGAAAGACAGAUCGAUGUCCUUGGUAAAUGCCAGUUCUGGCCGUGUACAGAGUCCCCUUUAAAUGCAAGUCAAUAGAGGCCUGUGUAGGAGUGUGCAGGGUCCACAUUCACUGUACACACUGCACAAUGCCGGGGUUGGGAGACAGGUGAUCAAUGCCUCUUAAACCUUCAUUCGUCACCGUGGCAAUGUUUACAGUAAUGCCUCCCAGGCCAAGCCUGCAACUGUCUCUCUCUGUGUUCAGCCUUAAAUGCCGGCACAGGGGGAAAAGGCUUCUUUGAUUAAUGUAAGAUUAGCCAAUAAGAAUCUAGUAAAGGUAAAAAAAAAAGCACUCUUCCUCACAUGCAGAAAAAUUUAGAAGAACAACACUGAUUUUUUUGUUUUCUAACCAGUUUGAUUCUACAACAGUAAAAUGUUAAAUUCCAUUUCAAAUCAGCCAUCAAUAACUAAUGUACACCAAAAGAAGCAAUGUGGAAAGAAGCUAGCUCAGCUAGCAGAGUCUGUGUCUGUUUGUCUGUCUCUCCUUCUCUCUGUCUGUCUGUCUCUCUCUCUCUCUGUUUGAUUGUGGGGUUGAAAGAGGAGAAGGGGAAAAGGACCUCCAGGCAGUUGGGUGAGCUGAGGUGGAGGACAGACUGGAGGUGAUGUGGAAAUGAUGCUGACUGUAACCUGUGGAACCCAGGUGUUUUGUGCAUGACCUGAGUGGAUGAGACAGGUUCUCGGGGGUUAACUGUUUCACCAGGCACUGUCAGCGUGGAGCUGGACUAGCCCCGUAGGCUCAGCAUUGUUUGCUCGCUCAUCAACCCCGGCCCGACGUUUCUCCCUGACACCGGGUUCUGUGCUGUUUGGAAAAGAAGGGGGCAUAUUUCUCCGGCCCCGCGGAUCCGUUUGACUCGCUUAUUAUUCUGCUUAUGCAAAGGCUGCGUUCUCACUGCACAGCCACAAAGAGGAACUGAGUCACACAAUGCAGAAAGUGAAUAGAGCAGCCAAAACCCCCUCCCCCUCCCUCCGCUGGACCCAUGUGAGCUGCUCGCCCUUGGCAGCUCUCAUUCCCGCCGCAGGGCACCUGUUCUGUCCAAUUUGCCUCUGCGCGGAGAUGCUAUUGCACACUACGAAACUUCAUGCAAGUCUAAGUGAUUACAUAUGGUUGUAUCCCUGGGGUAUUCGAGGUGGUCCAGGCAUCCACUGAAAACAACAACAACGACAAAAAACCCCCCUCUUAAAUAACAAACUUUCUGUUUUUUCUUUUUCCCUUUACAAAAAAUGUUUUGUGCAUAAAGAAGUCCUGGUCGACAGAUGAUGUGAUUACAAAUUGCAGCCUUAGCUUUUGAGGUAGUUAACUUCAGUUUGAAAUGACUUUUUAUUAUUAUUACCAUUAUUAUUAUUUUUAUUGUUGCUGCAUGACAUAUGGCAUAUGAAAAUAAAUUUUGAUGAUCUGGCACAACAUUAAGCUAUAGGGUACACGGGGGUCCACGCUCAUCCAUUCUGUGUCACUAUCUGGAUAUUGUCUUCAAUGUCUGUAUCGACAACACAGUGACAGCUGCGGUAAUUAAUAACCUCAGUGUACAGGGACUAAUCCAUUCACCCCCAUUGGCUUUUUAUGUAGACUCUAUAUCUACAUUUCCAUACUGUAUUGGUUCUGUUGCUGCAUUGCACAUCUGAGCUGUUGCACUACUUACCACUGCCGGACACUGUUCAUACUGUUUGUUACUUUAUUGCUACUUUAUCUCUAUUUUAUCUUAUUUGUUGUUCCACUUUUUACCUUAUUUAUUGUUUUUUAUAGCAUCGAGUAUGAAAGUUGCAAACGCAGUCUUGUUGUAACUGUGCAAUGACAAUUGUUCUUGUGCAAUGACAAUAAAGAUAUUCUAUUCUA
Molecule: long non-coding RNA, 2068 nt
Organism: Chanos chanos (milkfish)
Lineage: Eukaryota; Metazoa; Chordata; Actinopteri; Gonorynchiformes; Chanidae
Exons: 3
Source: RefSeq, a predicted model, not a curated record